GUUGCUGCUCUGAGGCUGGUAGGUUGAGGUCAAAGACGCCGUAAUCAUGUGGACCAUCAAAGAUGAUAUCUCCAUCUUGUAGGCCAUCAGAAGCUUGUAAGUUGUGCUCGAAUAUAUUGUAGUCAUGUGGACCAUCAAAAUUGAUAUCUCCACAUUGUAGGUCAUCUGAAGCUACAAGGACUACAACAAGGAGGGACAGGGGUAGGCAAUUGGAUGUCCCCAAUAGCAAGGACUUGUAAGAAUUGAAUUAAGAGAGAUAUUACCUGUAUCAGGAUCUUGUUGCUGUCCCUCACAAGCAGGAACGUUGAGAUCUAUGACAUGCAUAGCGCUGUGUUCCCCUUCAUAGAGAUACUGGACUUGACCUUGGAGUUGAUGGACUUCAUUUCCUUCUUAGAGAUGAACUUGAUCUUCAUGAAGAUGGUGGAUUUCGUCUCUCUGAGGUUCUUCAUUGAGGUCAGGCUGAGGAAGAUGGAGUCGAUUGAUGCUGUGGAGUUUGGACCAAUUGGAGCAAGUGGAUGCCUCACAAGCAGGUGGAGUCUUUUGUAGUGGGAGCAUUGGUGGAGAGUUAAAAUUUGAAUCUCCAGGCACACUGAGCGCCAAAGAGUUCCUGGAAGCGCCCAAAGAGUUCCUAGAAGUUUCUGUACUGGUCUUUGAUGGCCUUUUGUAUGCUGCCACGUGUUUGGUUUUUUAUUUGCAUGUGCACUGUAACCUGCACAUGGCUGAUACAUUUAUAGGGGUAUUAUGGUAAUUUUGCAUGAACAUUAUGAUCCCUAGUUUAAACCUAUACGUCCAC
Panicum virgatum (switchgrass) is the source of this 793-nucleotide long non-coding RNA. RefSeq lists it as uncharacterized. NCBI's taxonomy places the organism in Eukaryota, Viridiplantae, Streptophyta, Magnoliopsida, Poales, Poaceae. The transcript has 3 exons. The record is from RefSeq and is a predicted model, not a curated record.